Perognathus longimembris pacificus (Pacific pocket mouse) is the source of this 862-nucleotide long non-coding RNA. RefSeq lists it as uncharacterized. The transcript is spliced from 3 exons. Lineage: Eukaryota; Metazoa; Chordata; Mammalia; Rodentia; Heteromyidae. The record is from RefSeq and is a predicted model, not a curated record.
AGGCUUGGGUUGGCAGGCCAGGAUGCUCGGCUGCGGCCUGAGGUUUCCUCGUGGUCCUAAUGCUCAGGUCUUCUCCUCAACCCAGCUCAGCCAGCCAGGAAAAGCAAAGGCUACGUGGAAGAGAAACCUGGAAUUGCAACCUGAACAAAUCACCAACAGUUUCCAUUGGGUUUCUCUUUAUAACACACAAAAAUGGAAAGAAAGGAAACCAGGACCGAGUGAGACAAAGAGCACAAUCUCCAGGUCACUGUGACCUUGGCCCAGUGCUGUAAAGGUUUCCUGAGAUAUAUAGUUCUUUCUCUUCAGCCCAUAGUGAGAUUUGAACUUAGGGCUGCACACUUGCCUGGCUGGCACUCUGCCAAUUGAACCGUGCCUCCAGCCUGGGAGAUAGCCAAUGACAACGAGCCACCGUGACCUAUAAACUCGGGGCCGCUCCUCCACCUGCAAUCAAGCCCUUCCGUAUGUCGUAUUUCCAGUCACACCACACAAGCCCGUGAAACAGGACCCUACACGGGGAACUUCUGUAGCAUGCCCUCCUUCAUUCUUACAACAGACAGCACGCACGACAGGGAGCUCCAAAUAGGUUUAAAAUGCUGGCAAGGGGAGCACAGCUCUCCCCGCAGGGUGGGAGCUGGUGCCAGGCUCACCCUUGGCCCUGGGCAGCAAGACAGACUCACCCCACACCUGGCCCUAUUCACCUUGGCUGAAGGCAAGCAACCCCUCAGCUGUGUGCGAAAUAACCAAAUAGCUGAAGAGUCUUCCACUUGGGUAGCUCCAGAGGGCACAAUCAACAGUAUCAAUACCUUCAUGGGAUUUGCAGAAAGCUGUACCUUGGUCUCAAGGAUCUGGCCUGAGCAACUGC